GGGUGAGUAACACGUAGGGAACCUGCCCGCGCACCGGGAAUACGCUCUGGAAACGGAGAACAAAUCCCGAUGUACAGGAAGGAGGCAUCUUCUUUCUGUGAAACAUCCUUUAGGGGAUGGGGCGCGGAUGGACCUGCGGUGCAUUAGUUGGUUGGCGGGGUAAAGGCCCACCAAGACGAUGAUGCAUAGCCGGCCUGAGAGGGCGGACGGCCACAUUGGGACUGAGACACGGCCCAGACUCCUGCGGGAGGCAGCAGUAGGGAAUUUUCGUCAAUGGGCGCAAGCCUGAACGAGCGAUGCCGCGUGAGUGAAGAAGGCCUUCGGGUCGUAAAGCUCUGUUGCGGGGGAAAAAAGGCAGCAUCAGGAAAUGGGUGCUGACUGAUGGUGCCCCGCCAGAAAGUCACGGCUAACUACGUACCAGCAGCCGCGGUAAUACGUAGGUGGCGAGCGUUAUCCGGAAUGAUUGGGCGUAAAGGGUGCGCAGGCGGUCCUGCAAGUCUGGAGUGAAACGCAUGAGCUCAACUCAUGCAUGGCCUUGGAAACUGGAGGACUGGAGAGCAGGAGAGGGCGGUGGAACUCCAUGUGUAGCGGUAAAAUGCGUAGAUAUAUGGAAGAACACCAGUGGCGAAGGCGGCCGCCUGGCCUGUUGCUGACGCUGAGGCACGAAAGCGUGGGGAGCAAAUAGGAUUAGAUACCCUAGUAGUCCACGCCGUAA
This 715-nucleotide ribosomal RNA is filed under the name uncultured bacterium. RNAcentral's name for it is "bacterial SSU rRNA". It matches the Rfam family "Bacterial small subunit ribosomal RNA", at positions 104 to 805 of the family's 1533-position model. The record is from RNAcentral.